Long non-coding RNA from Sander lucioperca (pikeperch), 286 nucleotides. RefSeq lists it as uncharacterized. The transcript is spliced from 4 exons. NCBI's taxonomy places the organism in Eukaryota, Metazoa, Chordata, Actinopteri, Perciformes, Percidae. The record is from RefSeq and is a predicted model, not a curated record.
GGCUGUCUGUAUGUAAUACCUAUACAACACCGACUGGACAUGUCUCCCCUGCCUUACACGCCACGGGAGUUUGAGGCAAUGCCAAAAGCCUGGUGUGUGUCGUGCAGUAAACAUGUGCCGUUGCAGCUAUUAAGUCUGCAUGUGGAGACCUGUACGAAGCCGUAAGUUGAUGAAAUCCACUCUGACAGUGAUGAUGUUGAUGAAGGGGCUCUACUGCAGCAAUCUAAUUUGGAGAGUAUGGAUUCCACAGAGCUUCCAUCCUGCUCCCAAGUUCCUGAUGUUAAAG